Molecule: long non-coding RNA, 1292 nt
Organism: Lontra canadensis (Northern American river otter)
Lineage: Eukaryota; Metazoa; Chordata; Mammalia; Carnivora; Mustelidae
Exons: 7
Source: RefSeq, a predicted model, not a curated record
ACAGUAGAAUAAAUACCUACCGACUGACAUGUCAUCUAUGGACCCCCGGCCCACAACCGCACGGUUCCUCCACGUCUGCGGCUGAGCAAAGGAGUUGCACGCACGCGCAAGAAAGGAGGCCGGAGGAGUGAGACUGAGGAAAAGAAGUGAGAGCGGCGAACAGCGACGAUUCUGCGCAUGUUCAAGGCGCGGAUAUUGGGGUAGGAGUUUGCGCAUGAGCAGAAGUGUAGGGAAAGCUGGAGAAGGGUUUGGAGGCGGUAUUGACAGCUGUGUAGGCAGCCCGCGUUCCCGGCAUGCCCUGGGGCGGCGGGGUUGGCUCUAACGAAUUUGAAUGAGGAGCCUCAGCGCUUUCGGCGCCAUUUUCGAGUGAUGCCUGAUCUCAUCAAUCUAGCGGGAGAGACGGGAUAACCUGUCCGAGAUUAUAGCGCUACUAGGACUCCGCCGAAAAAUCUCUAAAAAAAUCGCCAAAAAUUACUUCGACCAAAGGGCAGUCCGUGGGGCUUCGCCAGGGUUGCCGCAGACGUCUUUGAAACAUGUCGCAAGGAUAAAAGCAAUCUGUGAAACUAUUGAUGUUUUCCUCCCGAAAAGUCUUAGCCCGGACAACUUAACGGUUUUGACCUUUAGGAGAGAGCCAAUUCUGGAGAACAACCUAACUUCUUUGAUUGAACACUCACAUAAUGCAUUGGAACAUGAUAGGAGAUUAAGAUUUGAUAUUGAUAAAAUGAAGACCAUAAUAAAACAGUCCCCUACUUAGCCCAGCAGUUCUUAUCUUGCAUGUAUUUUGAUACCACCACCGCCUCCCCUCCAAAGGUGAGAACUGACUAUUCCAUGUGUACCUAGACCAUGUGGAGAAAGGACUGAGACUGAAAACAGAAAACAGACAUUGUCCGUAUAGAGCAGAGUACCUCACAACAGCUCACUCCAGCAAAGGGCAAUAAAUGCCACACCAGAUGAUCUCUCAUCACAAAACUUUACAUCUGACUUACAUGCCUGGUCUGAUGACUUCUUUUUAUGACUCCUAAAUUGUGGAGGCGAUUCCGAGGCUCUGGCCGUGAAGCCGGGCAUAAUCGGUAGCGGAGCAGGUUUUCUGGAGCACAGACCCACUGCACCCGCCCAGCGGACGCCCCCUGCACGCCGCUCCAAUUCACGCCUUGUUCCAGUGCCCAGCUGGCUUCCGCUGUGCAUCUGGGAGUGCAGCUCAAACUGAGCUCUCCGCCAGCCCCCCACCCACGCAGUUCGCUGUCCUGCCAGGGCAAGUCCCCAUCCUCGCAGCAGCCCCGAGGAUCACCCCC